RNAcentral lists this long non-coding RNA (1268 nucleotides) under Gossypium raimondii (Peruvian cotton). Its description in RNAcentral is "long non-coding RNA (GRAI_LNC010555)". Lineage: Eukaryota; Viridiplantae; Streptophyta; Magnoliopsida; Malvales; Malvaceae. The record is from RNAcentral.
UCCUUUUCGAUAUCAUUGAUCUCCUGAACUAGUCUUUUCUCUUGAGAUUUAGCAGACCAAUGUUAGUAUUAAUCUUUCAUUCAUAAAAGGCAUUAGCAUUGUUUAUUUAUUAAUUACAUUUACUUUUUCUAACAAGAGUUUGGCUUGUUAUCCAGAAGACAAAAUGAAAAUGAAUGUUUUUGUUCCUCAAGUUUUCUUAAAAAUAGCAAUUCUAAUUCUAAUUCUAUGGUUAUUUCCUCAAUAAGAGAAUAGAGGAUGAAAAGCAUAAGUAAGAGAUAGCUAAAACUAGCCAAAAUAAGGAUCAAAAGCAUAGAACUAAACAUGCAAUUUGGUAUAAUUAUUGGUCAAUUAACAUGUAAGGUCCCUAUGUACUCAAUCACUGUGAAAUAUGUCAUGUAAAUAUAUAUCGAACUAAAGUUGUUCAUCUUACAAAACAAGCAAGUUAUAGGAAGAAAUCAUAAAAAAACAUAUUCAUUUUCAAAACAAUGUCGCAUGACUUGUAUGUGAUUGUCAAAUAUUAUAAGUCUUUUAAAAGACAAUUAUUUAAAAAACUCAUGUAUAUACAAACAUAUAUCUAUUUGGACAGUUAUGUCUAUACGAAGAGACAUAUAUUGUACCGGUUAUGUCUAUAUGAAAGACAUUUAUUUGAAAAAUAAUGUUUAUAAAGUAUAUAUAUUUGCUUAUAAAUAGAAUUCCUCUUAGGUUUGGAAGACACAAAGAGCUCAACCAAUAUUGAAUAAUUAUUUCUUACAUGGAACAAAUUAAAGAAACCCUAUAAGUUUUUUAUCACCAAAUCAGAUAAAUCUAAUUUUACGCUGAAGAAUGCUAAAUGGAUGGAUUUCAUCAAUGAAAACAUAAUGUAUUACCGAAUUCCAUUGUAUUAUGGAGCUUUAUAAAAGUGACAAUAUGACAUUGUUAUAUACCUUGAAAGCUUGAAGACUUUAAUAAUUUCUCAUUUGUUUUAGCAUUUACCAGUAUGCCAUAUCCAAACAUUUUGUCGCACAAAAAAGUAAGAAAUAAUUGAAAGAAACCAAAACUGGCAAUCAGAGAGAAAGCUUACUACAUCAAUCACUAGAGUGAACUCUCUAGGAAGUAAUUCCGGCUUGUUAAAUUAUUUACCAAAGGUGGGAUCAACAACAAAAACUAUAUUUCUAUCUUCUACUUGCCAAUCCUGCAACAAUUUGAGUAUGAGCGGAAGGGAAUAUAGACUCUUUUAUUAACAAAAAGGAAAGGCUUUACAAGAGAGAAAACUAAAAAGUAAAACUAUU